AUGGUGGGCGCGCUCAUCGGCGCCAACCUGUCCGUCUUCAUGCUCUGGCGCGUGCUCGCGUAUCCCAGGUUCAUCACCGAUCCUCACAUGGUUUGGGUGGACAUGUACUUGGGCGGGCGGCUGCACACGCUGCUCAUGAGCGCCUCCAGCAAUGUGGAUCCCAUGUUCAUGAGGAAACAUUUCAUGAUCUCGCUGGACAAUUUCACGAGUGGGCGUUUGCACACGAUGCUCACAAGUGCUUUCAGCCACAUGAACCUUAAGCACCUCUGCAACAACAUGGUCGGCCUCUACUUCUUCGGCUCAAGCAUUGCCCGCACGUUUGGCCCUGGUUUUCUUUUCCAACUGUACGUUACUGGAGCACUUACUGGGUCGGUAUUCUACCUGGCAGAAAAGAUUUUUCUAGCUCCACGAAAAGAGGUUUUUGGAGGAUGGAAAACUCCCUGUCUUGGUGCAAGUGCUGCAGUUAAUGCAAUUAUUCUUCUUGAGAUAUUUUUGCAUCCGACGAAGCUACUAUACUUACACCUUUUCAUUCCCGUUCCAGCUGCAUUAGUGGGAGUUGGUUUGAUUGGUGCUGAUUUGUGGAGGGUCAAGAAGGGCGGGAGUCGCGUGUCAGGCUCUUCUCAUCUAGGGGGUGCCCUAGUGGCGGCGGUUGCCUUUGCGGAAAUCAAGGGCUGGAUCUGA
RNAcentral lists this ribosomal RNA (681 nucleotides) under Triticum aestivum (bread wheat). RNAcentral describes it as "partial small subunit ribosomal RNA". The record is from RNAcentral. Lineage: Eukaryota; Viridiplantae; Streptophyta; Magnoliopsida; Poales; Poaceae.